This 505-nucleotide ribosomal RNA is filed under the name uncultured bacterium. RNAcentral's name for it is "partial 16S ribosomal RNA". It matches the Rfam family "Bacterial small subunit ribosomal RNA", at positions 28 to 507 of the family's 1533-position model. The record is from RNAcentral.
GACGAACGCUGGCGGCGUGCCUAAUACAUGCAAGUAGAACGCACAGUUUAUACCGUAGCUUGCUACACCAUAGACUGUGAGUUGCGAACGGGUGAGUAGCGCGUAGGUAACCUGCCUGGUAGCGGGGGAUAACUAUUGGAAACGAUAGCUAAUACCGCAUAAUAUUAAUUAUUGCAUGAUAAUUAAUUGAAAGGUGCAAUUGCACCACUACCAGAUGGACCUGCGUUGUAUUAGCUAGUAGGUGAGGUAACGGCUCACCUAGGCGACGAUACAUAGCCGACCUGAGAGGGUGAUAGGCCACACUGGGACUGAGACACGGCCCAGACUCCUACGGGAGGCAGCAGUAGGGAAUCUUCGGCAAUGGACGAAAGUCUGACCGAGCAACGCCGCGUGAGUGAAGAAGGUUUUCGGAUCGUAAAGCUCUGUUGUAAGAGAAGAACGGGUGUGAGAGUGGAAAGUUCACACUGUGACGGUAUCUUACCAGAAAGGGACGGCUAACUACGUG